GACGGGGGAUGCAAGCGUUAUCCGGAAUGAUUGGGCGUAAAGGGUCCGCAGGUGGCCCGGUCAGUCCGCUGUCAAAGCCUGGGGCUCAACCCUGGAGAGGCGGCGGAGACCACCGGGCUUGAGUCCGGUAGGGGCAGAGGGAAUUCCCGGUGGAGCGGUGAAAUGCGCAGAUAUCAGGAGGAACACCCGUAGCGAAGGCGGCACUCUGGGCCGAUACUGACACUGAGGAGCGAAAGCGUGGGGAGCGAACAGG
RNAcentral lists this ribosomal RNA (253 nucleotides) under uncultured bacterium. RNAcentral's name for it is "partial 16S ribosomal RNA". It matches the Rfam family "Bacterial small subunit ribosomal RNA", at positions 524 to 776 of the family's 1533-position model. The record is from RNAcentral.